Non-coding RNA from Drosophila suzukii, 931 nucleotides. NCBI's taxonomy places the organism in Eukaryota, Metazoa, Arthropoda, Insecta, Diptera, Drosophilidae. The record is from RefSeq and is a predicted model, not a curated record.
CUUUCCUUUCUUGUUAAUUUUUUGCUUCUUGUAUACAAAUGUAUAUUAAAGCCCCUAUAAAUUCGUUUAAAUUAUUUAUUUUAAAUAUAUUUCGGGUCCAUUAUAAAAUGUUUGGAUGACUUAGUAAUACAUGGCCGAUUACUCUGAGAUUGGACCCUUCAUUUAGCUUUGUAAUAGUGACAGAAAGCUCUUCUCCUGUCCUCAAUAGAUGACUUCCAGCGGAGUAGGCGACGUCAACAUACCCAGCUGGGCAUCCUCAGACAAAUUUAUAGCAGUUUAACAGAACAGCAAGUUACAGUGUCCAAGAAAUACCAACGAUUUGCAAAAUAGAAUAAACACCGCAAAAUGUUAUACUUAUUUAAAAAAAUUUGGUCGGUUGUCCGAGUGACCUCGACAACUCAGUCAAAAACAAGAAUGAACGCUAUAGUCGACGGCCUCGAAUAUUACAUACCCGUUACUCAACUAAAGGAAGUGGAAGGGAGAAGGAGAUAUGCAGCAUUUCGGCUGUUUCCGAGAUUAAACACUUUGUUUGCCAAAACCCAUCUUUCUAGCUUUUAUAGUUCCCGAGAUCUCGGCGCUCAUACGAACGGUCAGGCAGAACCUAUAAAAAAUUGAAGUUUUCUUAUUUAAUUAGAUAUAACCGGAUAUACAUACAUAAAUAUACACAGAGUUAUACAAGUUGGUUGUUUUGUUCGAUUCAUUCAAUUGUGUAGCUUAAGCCUAUAGAAUAAUUCAUUACUUUAUUUUGGAAUAUAUUUAUUAUGCAUAGAUAAGUCUUUUCCAUCAUAGGUAAUGCCCUCGUAGAAGAACUUUCGAUUUGAGCGGCAUUGAGGACCACAUCUGGUAGAGCCACAACUACGGCACUCAUACCAACAACCUUCACAUUCUUUAUUUAAGCAGUCGCCUGAAAAUAAACAUAUUUUAUUUUAAA